This 254-nucleotide ribosomal RNA is filed under the name uncultured bacterium. Its description in RNAcentral is "partial 16S ribosomal RNA". It matches the Rfam family "Bacterial small subunit ribosomal RNA", at positions 524 to 776 of the family's 1533-position model. The record is from RNAcentral.
CACGUAGGCACCAAGCGUUGUCCGGAUUUAUUGGGCGUAAAGAGCUCGUAGGCGGUUCGGUAAGUCGGGUGUGAAAACUUUGGGCUCAACCCAAAGCGUGCACCCGAUACUGCCAUGACUAGAGUUCGGUAGGGGAGUGGGGAAUUCCUAGUGUAGCGGUGAAAUGCGCAGAUAUUAGGAGGAACACCGGUGGCGAAGGCGCCACUCUGGGCCGAAACUGACGCUGAGGAGCGAAAGCGUGGGUAGCAAACAGG